This 450-nucleotide ribosomal RNA is filed under the name uncultured bacterium. Its description in RNAcentral is "partial 16S ribosomal RNA". It matches the Rfam family "Bacterial small subunit ribosomal RNA", at positions 29 to 523 of the family's 1533-position model. The record is from RNAcentral.
AACGAACGCUGGCGGCAUGCCUAAUACAUGCAAGUCGAACGAGAUCUUCGGAUCUAGUGGCGCACGGGUGCGUAACGCGUGGGAAUCUGCCCUUUGGUUCGGAAUAACUUCUGGAAACGGAAGCUAAUACCGGAUGAUGACGUAAGUCCAAAGAUUUAUCGCCAGAGGAUGAGCCCGCGUAGGAUUAGCUAGUUGGUGAGGUAAAGGCUCACCAAGGCUACGAUCCUUAGCUGGUCUGAGAGGAUGAUCAGCCACACUGGGACUGAGACACGGCCCAGGCUCCUACGGGAGGCAGCAGUAGGGAAAAUUGGACAAUGGGCGCAGGCCUGAUCCAGCAAUGCCGCGUGAGCGAUGAAGGCCUUAGGGUUGUAAAGCUCUUUUACCCGGGAUGAUAAUGACAGUACCGGGAGAAUAAGCCCCGGCUAACUCCGUGCCAGCCGCCCGCCGUAA